Molecule: long non-coding RNA, 570 nt
Organism: Leopardus geoffroyi (Geoffroy's cat)
Lineage: Eukaryota; Metazoa; Chordata; Mammalia; Carnivora; Felidae
Exons: 3
Source: RefSeq, a predicted model, not a curated record
CCUGCCUGUGCCGUCCCCCCCCCCGCCCCCGCCCCCAAAGCAUCCAGGAAAUGCUCCUGCCUGACCGCAGCUCUGCGCAUCAGUAACCGGAUCUGAGGCCCGCGGUCAGGGGCCAACAGAUGGGCUCCAUCAAGGGCAGCGCUUGGUCAGAGCGUGAAGGGCCCCACGUGUGCUCCUCUCUGCGGCGACAGGAGAACGGGACGGCCCGGGAACGCGCAGUGUGUCAGGCACACGUUCAGGUGGCCCGCCUCCCGACAAAUAUCUGCGAAGCCCAGCUCUGCAGAUGCCACACCGGGUGCCGUGUGUACAGCCGCGAAGAAGCCAGCAGCCCAGAUCGCUGCCUCUUAAGGUGCUGACCGGUUCCCCUGGGCCACGGCCCACAGCCCCGCAGCUAGAACGGCAAAGCGUCGGUGGCAAGAACAUCCCCCUGGAUCCAAGCCCAGCUGUGAGACCCGGGACGGGAGCCACCGCAGUUGGGAGCCAAAGACAAACGUGAUUUGACUGAUGUUUUGUUUAAGCGAAGAAGGAAACUCUUAAGACUCCCAGGCCCGGGUGAGUCAGAGGUUGGGG